CAGCCAGUCAGCGGGCAGUUGCUGUUUAGCAAUAAACAGAGGAAAGUCCGGACUCCCUGGAUACUAAAGUAUCCAGUCGUGAUAACGGGUAACACCCGCCGCAUCAGUUGUGAGACUGAUGUAGGGAAAGUGCCACAGAGACUAUACUAGCGACUAAGUCGUCAAAGGUGAAAAGUCAGCUGGUGUUGCGCUUACCGCAGCUACAGCUGUCCCUAGUCAGUAAUGGCUAGGCGUGGUAAACCCUAUCUGGAGCAAGAACAAACUAACAGCUAACUGUUAGACAAAGUGGUUCGCAGGAGCUUUUGAGUAAUCAAAAGCCAAGACAAAUAACUGCCGUUUCGUUUUUUACGAAAUACAAAAUCCGGCUUAUAGCUGAUGGCUGGUCU
RNAcentral lists this RNase P RNA (386 nucleotides) under bacterium. Its description in RNAcentral is "RNase P RNA component class A". It matches the Rfam family "Bacterial RNase P class A". From Rfam's summary of the family: Ribonuclease P (RNase P) is a ubiquitous endoribonuclease, found in archaea, bacteria and eukarya as well as chloroplasts and mitochondria. Its best characterised activity is the generation of mature 5'-ends of tRNAs by cleaving the 5'-leader elements of precursor-tRNAs. The record is from RNAcentral. RNAcentral also lists the same sequence under 1 other name.